GAGUUUGAUCGUGGCUCAGGAUGAACGCUGGCGGCGUGCUUAAUACAUGCAAGUCGAACGGAUCGUAGCAAUACGGUUAGUGGCGAACGGGCGAGUAACGAGUUGGUGAUCUGCCCCGAAGUGUGGGAUAACAGUCCGAAAGGAUUGCUAAUACCUCAUGUGCUUGCCGGGUUUAGAAGCUGGUAAGUAAAGCAGUAAUGCGCUUCGGGAGGAACCUGCUUUCCAUCAGCUAGUUGGUGAGGUAACGGCUCACCAAGGCUACGACGGAUAAGGGACCUGAGAGGGUGGUCCCUCGCAAUGGCACUGAAACACGGGCCAUACACCUACGGGUGGCAGCAGUAGGGAAUAUUGGGCAAUGGGCGAAAGCCUGACCCAGCAACGCCGCGUGUGUGAUGAAGGCCUUCGGGUCGU
RNAcentral lists this ribosomal RNA (411 nucleotides) under uncultured Anaerolineae bacterium. Its description in RNAcentral is "bacterial SSU rRNA". It matches the Rfam family "Bacterial small subunit ribosomal RNA", at positions 9 to 426 of the family's 1533-position model. Lineage: Bacteria; Bacillati; Chloroflexota; Anaerolineae. The record is from RNAcentral.